GUUUUAGAGACACCGCUAAAUUUCAUUUCAUUGAAAUGUCUCCCAGUUUCUAAGUCUUCGAAAACAUGACAACAGCGAGCUGAACGACGCUGCAUCUGCUCCUGCUUUCCAUGAUGAAAAGAAGCAUGAACGCCAGGAUCUGAGACACGGACGCUGGAGCAAAAUAUCCAAGCGGGAUCAUUAAGUUGGGGUCCUCGCUGCCUCUUGAGGUGCAGAUCUUUGCCUGAAGCUACCAGCUCCACAGUCCAUUCAUCAAAAGCAUGACCCUCUCUAGUCCUGGACAGGAUGCUAUGGACUAAUGAACAUGGUUUAUUAGAGUGAGGCGAUUGAUGAGUGAUGUGGGUGAGACUCGAAGUGAACGCUGCAGAGAAGCCAGAUGAGG
Long non-coding RNA from Synchiropus splendidus (mandarinfish), 382 nucleotides. RefSeq lists it as uncharacterized. The transcript is spliced from 4 exons. NCBI's taxonomy places the organism in Eukaryota, Metazoa, Chordata, Actinopteri, Syngnathiformes, Callionymidae. The record is from RefSeq and is a predicted model, not a curated record.